This 372-nucleotide ribosomal RNA is filed under the name Triticum aestivum (bread wheat). RNAcentral describes it as "partial small subunit ribosomal RNA". The record is from RNAcentral. Lineage: Eukaryota; Viridiplantae; Streptophyta; Magnoliopsida; Poales; Poaceae.
AUGGCUGCCGCCACCAACACCAAGCAGAAGCAGCAGCAGCAGCCGGCACCGAAACCGGAGUUUGCCGACGGCGAGAAAGCCAAAGCGCUGGUCGACCAGGAGAACCUGGCAGCGGGAGUGAUACGACGCAUCGAGGAAGAGAAAGCCAAAGCAGCGGCUGCUGCCAUGGAAGCGAAAGGGGUGCUGGAGAAGAAGGCCACGGCGUGCAGCGGCUGGAAAGAGCGCGUGGCAGGGGGGCUGGAGCAGCUGACGGACAUGAAGUGGGCGGACAGCAUGGUGGAGAAGGCAAGGAACAACAAGGAAGUGGUCGCCAUAGCCAUCGCUGCUUUCUCGCUCGGCUUCUUCGUCUCUCAAAAGUUAUUCAGGAAGUGA